This 253-nucleotide ribosomal RNA is filed under the name uncultured bacterium. RNAcentral's name for it is "partial 16S ribosomal RNA". It matches the Rfam family "Bacterial small subunit ribosomal RNA", at positions 524 to 776 of the family's 1533-position model. The record is from RNAcentral.
UACGUAGGGUGCGAGCGUUAAUCGGAAUUACUGGGCGUAAAGCGUGCGUAGGUGGUGAGUUAAGUCUGUCGUGAAAGCCCCGGGCUCAACCUGGGAAUGGCGAUGGAUACUGGCUCGCUAGAGUGCGGUAGAGGAGAGUGGAAUUCCCGGUGUAGCAGUGAAAUGCGUAGAGAUCGGGAGGAACAUCAGUUGCGAAGGCGGCUCUCUGGACCAGCACUGACACUGAGGCACGAAAGCGUGGGGAGCAAACAGG